CCUACGAGUGGCUGCAGUGGGGGAUAUUGCACAAUGGGGGGAACCCUGAUGCAGCGACGCCGCGUGGGUGAAGAAGCGCCUCGGCGCGUAAAGCCCUGUCAGCAGGGAAGAAAAUGACGGUACCUGAAGAAGAAGCCCCGGCUAACUACGUGCCAGCAGCCGCGGUAAUACGUAGGGGGCAAGGGUUAUCCGGAUUUACUGGGUGGAAAGGGGGCGCAGACGGCGAUGCAAGCCAGGAGUGAAAGCCCGGGGCCCAACCCCGGGACUGCUCGUGGAACUGCGUGGCUGGAGUGCAGGAGGGGCAGGCGGAAUGCCUGGUGUAGCGGUGAAAUGCGUAGAUAUCAGGAGGAACACCGGUGGCGAAGGCGGCCUGCUGGACUGCAACUGACGUUGAGGCCCGAAAGCGUGGGGAGCAAACAGGAUUAGAUACCCCAGUAGUC
RNAcentral lists this ribosomal RNA (440 nucleotides) under uncultured bacterium. Its description in RNAcentral is "partial 16S ribosomal RNA". It matches the Rfam family "Bacterial small subunit ribosomal RNA", at positions 338 to 795 of the family's 1533-position model. The record is from RNAcentral.